AAUUUUGUUGUUAUUCUAAUUGAUUUGUCUAAAAUCUAGAUAUUUAUAAAAUAUACUUGGUGAGAGCUAACGAUUAGGUUGGGUGGUUCUGUUUCUGAAUCUUCCUUUCUUACUAUUUAGACUUAAGAAGAAUGAAAGGCUCCAAGAAGCAUGUGCUGCUGUGACGUCUCGACUCGCAAUGGAGUUGCCCCAAGGGAACUGUGGUGUUCCUGUUGGUCAAGAAUUUUCCCAGGUUUCAAGCAUUCAUGUCAGGAGAGCAGGAGAGUACCAUAGCAAAGCUUCACUAGAAUCGAUAAAACUCAUAAAAGGAAGGUGGCACGGACCAUUUGGCCAAGAAGAAUCAAACCAGUUUCUAAGUCCCUGACCCAUUCCUUGUCUUUUGCCUGAAUAGGUUUACACCGGAGUCUGCAUAGGCAUUUGCUCUUAGGUUUGGUGGUGUUUAAUGAAACUUCCUCCAGCAUGAGAAUAGAACGACUCUCCAUGGGUUUUCCAAGGUUUUGAGGCAGCCUUCUAGCUGCUUAUGCUCUCAAAUGGAGGAGGUCUUUUCUCUAACCUAGGCAUUACCACAAACCGGCCUGACAGCCAUUCUGUGAGAUGUUCUUGGUAAAGUGCCAGGCUUGCUGGCUGAAUGCCUGUGCCUCAGUACUUGAGCAGCACUGGGUUAUCUCUGAAUUCUAUGUGGUCCUCUUCAAGGCUUGUUGGCUGUUUAUAUCAUCUCUUUAAAGAUAUUUUCCAGAAAGUUGUGGUUUUUCCGAAGUGCGUAUUACAUAUAAAGUGUGAUAGUCAUUUUAUCCCAGCCUGGCCCUUGGAGAAGCUACACUGGACCCUGAAGCAAACAGCGCAAACUGCCAGCUGAGGCACAAUUGAAGUCCAGCCAUGGUUGGUAUCUGAGCCACCUUUCGCACACAAUCCUAAGUAAGAUAAACUUAGCAUCAGACUCUCUGACCUCGGCACUCUUUCCUGCUCCUCCCCCAGCUCCAUGGUUGUAUCAUCAAGAUGCCACAGCUGCUGAAUAGAGUCUGAGCUCAAUCCAGGAAACUCCAGUGGUCCAGGAGCAGCAGAUACUGUUGGUAGCUCUCUACUGUCUAGGCACACUCCAUUCCUUUUCUAUGCUCCCUGCUGGCUCUGAAAGGGGGACCUGCGUUUGCUGGAAAAAAUCUGCAGAUGACUCUCCAAGAGUGAGGAAGCAUCUACCUGGAAGUGACGUACACAGUAUCUAACUCUGGAAAAAGUAGGCUAGAUAGAUCGCAAGAGUAUUGAAAAUUGUCAACCAUGUCAAGAACCUUGUACAGAGUGAGAAAUUCACAUCACUAAGCCACAUGUAAUCAUAAUGCUGAAGUUAAAAUCAAUCCAGCCUUAAGUCCUCCAGAUAAUUAGCUAAACGUAAUUUAUAUUAAUCAGAUUUCAUUAGCCUGUUUUCCUAUAUCAGUUUCCAGAGAAGGAAAAUAUAUGUUGUCUCUAUUUUCUUAUCAUAUGGGCCUAUGCUGGAGAAGUACAUUUUCCCCUGGGCUGUUUUCUAUAACCUCACAGAUGAUUAUUUUUUUAUUACUUUUGUUCUUCACUGGCAAAUCUACACUCGGAUCUCUGUGGCUGUCAGGUGAGAGAACUCUGUUGUUAUCACAUGAACCUGAAAUCCAAGCUCUAUCUGGCUACUCAGGGCAGGAAUGGAUUUGACUUGCCUAGGGUUUUGUUUUAUUUUUUUUGCCUGUCUUGGCACUUGUUUGUCCUCGUUGUUGUGUUAACUCUAGGCCGUGAUGACUCACGCUGA
Molecule: long non-coding RNA, 1768 nt
Filed under: Mus spicilegus (steppe mouse)
Lineage: Eukaryota; Metazoa; Chordata; Mammalia; Rodentia; Muridae
Description: lncRNA (ENSMSIG00000005333.1)
Source: RNAcentral